AUUAUGUCAUACUCAAAACAUUUCUGAUGAGAAGCCGUCUGAAUAUGAACUUGUGCUUCCUCCUUAGAUCUAAAUUCUUGGUUUAAAACCAAAUCCAUACCAUCAUCCCGAGUCUUAUAAACAACAGGUGUGACUUCAACUGAUGGUCUUACUUCUGUAUCUCCAAACACAUGCUCAUCUCUUUUGGUUAAAUUCUUAUGCAUCUCAACGUCUUCGUAGAAUGUGAGCACACCAUCAUUACCAUCUCUCUCAGUACCAUAUUCAUCAGUACCAUAUUCUUCACCACCCUCUGUAUCAAGAGCCUCUCUAUCAGUAGCCUCUCUAUCAGUAGCCUCUCUAUCGGAUAGACCGGCAUAGGCAUCAGUUUCAUC
This 371-nucleotide long non-coding RNA is filed under the name Brassica napus (rape). RNAcentral describes it as "long non-coding RNA (BNAP_LNC017687)". Lineage: Eukaryota; Viridiplantae; Streptophyta; Magnoliopsida; Brassicales; Brassicaceae. The record is from RNAcentral.